GCUUAGUGGUAGAGCAGGGGACUCACAAUCACAAGGUCCCAGGUUCAAACCCCACCUGC
This 59-nucleotide transfer RNA is filed under the name Mantoniella antarctica. Lineage: Eukaryota; Viridiplantae; Chlorophyta; Mamiellophyceae; Mamiellales; Mamiellaceae. The record is from RNAcentral.